Molecule: ribosomal RNA, 530 nt
Filed under: uncultured bacterium
Lineage: Bacteria
Description: bacterial SSU rRNA
Rfam family: Bacterial small subunit ribosomal RNA
Source: RNAcentral
CAGUCGAGCGGUAGAGAGAAGCUUGCUUCUCUUGAGAGCGGCGGACGGGUGAGUAAUGCCUAGGAAUCUGCCUGGUAGUGGGGGAUAACGUUCGGAAACGGACGCUAAUACCGCAUACGUCCUACGGGAGAAAGCAGGGGACCUUCGGGCCUUGCGCUAUCAGAUGAGCCUAGGUCGGAUUAGCUAGUUGGUGGGGUAAUGGCUCACCAAGGCGACGAUCCGUAACUGGUCUGAGAGGAUGAUCAGUCACACUGGAACUGAGACACGGUCCAGACUCCUACGGGAGGCAGCAGUGGGGAAUAUUGGACAAUGGGCGAAAGCCUGAUCCAGCCAUGCCGCGUGUGUGAAGAAGGUCUUCGGAUUGUAAAGCACUUUAAGUUGGGAGGAAGGGUUGUAGAUUAAUACUCUGCAAUUUUGACGUUACCGACAGAAUAAGCACCGGCUAACUCUGUGCCAGCAGCCGCGGUAAUACAGAGGGUGCAAGCGUUAAUCGGAAUUACUGGGCGUAAAGCGCGCGUAGGUGGUUAGUU